CCAGUGUGGACGACCCCUGGGGUUCCCCGGGGCUCUGUCCGCGUGGCCCAGAGGAGCACAGCACGUGGGUGUGUGAUGUAGAAUCAAUCCCACGGCACUGGCGAUGAGCUUGUCCCCGGUCUUAGGAUUGGAGGGCACGUCCCGUAUGUUCUUGUCGUCUCAUUACCUGGUUGCUGAGGAGAAAACCAUACAGGGCAGGCAC
This is a small nucleolar RNA of Rhinolophus ferrumequinum (greater horseshoe bat), 202 nucleotides long. Its record names the gene SNORA73. It matches the Rfam family "Small nucleolar RNA SNORA73 family". From Rfam's summary of the family: U17 (SNORA73A and SNORA73B) also known as E1 belongs to the H/ACA class of small nucleolar RNAs (snoRNAs). Vertebrate U17 is intron-encoded and ranges in length from 200-230 nucleotides, longer than most snoRNAs. NCBI's taxonomy places the organism in Eukaryota, Metazoa, Chordata, Mammalia, Chiroptera, Rhinolophidae. The record is from Ensembl.